This 560-nucleotide ribosomal RNA is filed under the name uncultured archaeon. RNAcentral's name for it is "bacterial SSU rRNA". It matches the Rfam family "Archaeal small subunit ribosomal RNA", at positions 333 to 897 of the family's 1478-position model. The record is from RNAcentral.
CAGCAGGCGCGAAAACUUUACAAUGCUGGCAACAGCGAUAAGGGGACCUCGAGUGCCAGGAUACAAUCUUGGCUGUCGCGAUGCCUAAAAAGCAUUGCAUAGCAAGGGCCGGGCAAGACCGGUGCCAGCCGCCGCGGUAACACCGGCGGCUCGAGUGGUAACCGCUAUUAUUGGGUCUAAAGGGUCUGUAGCCGGCCGGAUAAGUCUUUUGGGAAAUCCAGCUGCUCAACAGUUGGGCUUUCAGAAGAUACUGUUCGGCUCGAGACCGGGAGAGGUGAGAGGUACUUCAGGGGUAGGGGUGAAAUCUUGUAAUCCUUGAAGGACCACCAGUGGCGAAGGCGUCUCACCAGAACGGAUCUGACGGCAAGGGACGAAAGCUAGGGGCACGAACCGGAUUAGAUACCCGGGUAGUCCUAGCCGUAAACGAUACUCGCUAGGUGUCAGCCACGGUGCGACCGUGGUUGGUGCCGUAGGGAAGCCGUGAAGCGAGCCACCUGGGAAGUACGGCCGCAAGGCUGAAACUUAAAGGAAUUGGCGGGGGAGCACAAGGGCGAUUCGCG